Molecule: long non-coding RNA, 2774 nt
Organism: Mus musculus (house mouse)
Lineage: Eukaryota; Metazoa; Chordata; Mammalia; Rodentia; Muridae
Product: predicted gene, 35340
Exons: 4
Source: RefSeq, a predicted model, not a curated record
UCCCAGUCCCCAUUCCUUCCAGUGUUUAGCAUGACAUCACUGAACCUCAGGCACGCUCCGUACACAGGCCACUUUCUUUGGUAGGUCUUGCCUGUCACAGUUUACCCUCUGUCCAACUGAGAACAGAGAACCAGCAGAGAAGUGCCCAUUGUCCCGAGCCAGAGCUGCGGGGAGGAGGUUAGUGAAGGCUGCCGGGUGGACAAAUGCUCUUUCUCCGGCUGGCCCUCCAAUUGGAUUUCCCCUGUCCUGGUUCCCCCCCUGCUCUGGCCGGAUGUCGCUGGGGGCAGAUGAACAGUUUUAGUGGCUUCUGUUGUUCCAGAAAGCCCUCAUGGAGAAACCUGCAGACUUCCAGUGUGAGAUGCUUGGCUCUCCAGCCUUGGGAGCUUCCUGGUGCUCUUCGUUCUUCCAGCUGCAGUUCUUCCUCCUGGACCUCUGCACACUCACCUUGUGCUGUAGACUCCACAGACACUGCUCUUGGCACUUUCUGGAAGCCUUCGGCUGCCUCCUGAAGGACGAGUGAACUGAGGGCGUAGAGCCUCAGGGCUUUCUUUCUCCAGUUGUCUUGUAGCUGCUAUUCCUGGGUGCCCGGAACUGGGAGCUCACUCUAAAGAAACAAGUGGACCACCAAGAAGAGGCCUUUACUGACCCUACACAGGGAUAGGAUUAUAUAGGAGAAGCCCCCUAGAUUAAUCUGUCUACACUGAGAAGUAGUCUGCUCGUCCGAAACAGGACGGGGUGGGGGGGGCGGCUAUAAUGUGGUCAGCAGUGGACUUGAAUGUGCAUAGCUCCCAUUCACACUUCUCUUAAGACUCAUUUAAGAGCCAGCUGGCAGGGCACGCCUUUAAUCCCAAAACUUGGGAGGCAGAAGUGGAGCUCUGCAAGUUCAGGGCCAGCCUGGCCUACAGAGUUAGUUCCAGGACAGCGAGAGCUGUUAUACAAACCCUUUUGCAAACAAACAAACAAAAUAAAAAAACACAGAGAGACAGAAAGACAGACAGACAAAGACUCAUUUAAGGACCAAUCACAAGCCUGGCACUUCACCAGUCAGGCACUUCAGGUGGUUCUUUGUCAAGCUGCUCCUGUGAGCCGGGUCAUCUGAGGUUCUACUGAGGCUUGCCUGGCCUGGACCGGAGUUUCCCAAGGUGCCUGGGGUGGUGGUGACUGAGGUCAGAGCCAUGGCUGCAGAUAUGGCUCCUCCCUACCUCCUCUGGAGGCCUGGCUGACUCCGAUCCUCCCUGCCAUUCUGGUAGUAACAGUACAGUACAGCUUCACGAAGCCUUUCUCCGUGAUGCUGCCCAUCAGUCCCAGUGGUACCCACUGAUGGUCCUGAUGCUGUGCCUGGCCCUGAUGCUGUGCCUGGCCCUGAUGCUGUGCCUGGCUCUGAUGCUGUGCCUGGCCCUGAUGCUGUGCUUUGUCCUGAUGCUGUGCCUGACCCACUGUGACCACCUGCUGGACCCUUUGCUCAGAGUCUCUAACUGCUCCUCUGGUUUUCAUCUCCGUUGCUCAUAUCCCACCCCACAGUGUCCUGUCCUCUGCUGCCAGAAAGCUGACAUGGGAGGAGACCAGGCCAAGAGAACCAGGCACCGGACAAGGCUCUGUCUUCUUCCUUAGGAUACCGCCACACUCCUACGAAUGAGGACAUCCUGUCCCCACAGAUAUGACCUGUUCCCCCUGCACCACUACCCCCCACAACCUGUAUCUAAGGAUCUCCUUCACUUUCGCCUUCACGACCCAGUCAAGGUGUCAAGUAGUUCAUAGGAUCUCGCUCUCAGUAGAGCUCAACGUUUGAAGCGUUUGUUAGAGAACGGAUCAAUGCUGAGCCGACCACUGACCCUUUACCACCACGGAUUCACUUGGCUUUCAAAAUCCAAGGCUGCAGGCUGGAGUCAGCUCUUCAGACUUGACUUACCCACCAGGGACAAAGCUCUCAAUAUUCCAUAUCCAAGCUGUGGUAGCUCCAUAGCAGGUGGCGGCCCUUGGGGAUCUCCUUUGUGUUACAGCCUCACCUGAGAAUGGGGUGGGUACCACAGCACCCGUGGUUUACACCGGAGAUGGAUGAAGAAGGUCCUACAGGGAACUCUGAGUGGUAAAGUCCACGGACGGUUGUGGCAGAGAAGGAGCUAUUUCGAGGUUCGUUCUACACGAUGCUGCUCAGGGAAAUGAGAGUAGCCAUGGCCCUGCAGGGUACUCGGUGUUGGGGUCUCCUGACACUGACUUUGGUUGCAUAUUCUUGGGAAGAGGAGGCUAAUGAGCCCUAACAGAAGACAAAGACACCACACACCCUCAACAGCAUGCACAGAGUUGUCUUGUUGCUUAAAUAUUAGAAUAGGGAGUGCCGAUACCACCCCGCACUGCCACAAAGCUGUGGGUGCAACCCCCAGGGUCUACUCUACUCCAUCGGUCCGAGAGUGUUUGGUGAAAAUGUGGGCUGUGAUAAGUGGAUAUUAACCCAGAAACUUAGACUACCCAAGAUACAAUUUGCAAAACACAUGAAACUCAAGGAGAAGGAAGACCAAAGUGUGUAUACUUCGUUCCUUCUUAGAAUGGGGAACAAAAUACCCAUGAAAGGAGUUACAAAGACAAAGUUCGGAGCUAAGACAGAAGAAAGGACCAUCCAGAGACUGCCUCACUCGGGGAUCCAUCCCGUAUACAACCACCAAACCCAGACACUAAUGCAUAUGCCAGCAAGAUUUUGCUGACAGGACCCUGAUAUAGCUAUCUCUUGUGAGGCUAUGCCAGUGCCUGGCAAAUACAUAAGUGGAUGCUCACAGUCA